CAGUAGCCACGGUAAGACGAACCGUGCGAACGUUAUUCGGAAUUACUGGGCUUAAAGCGCGUGUAGGCGGUUCUAUAAGACAGAUGUGAAAUCCCCGGGCUCAACCUGGGAACUGCAUUUGUGACUGUAGAGCUGGAGUGCGGCAGAGGGGGAUGGAAUUCCGCGUGUAGCAGUGAAAUGCGUAGAUAUGCGGAGGAACACCGAUGGCGAAGGCAAUCCCCUGGGCCUGCACUGACGCUCAUGCGCGAAAGCGUGGGGAGCAAACAGGAUUAGAUACCCCCGUAGUCCCUGUCUCUUAUAC
Molecule: ribosomal RNA, 301 nt
Filed under: uncultured bacterium
Lineage: Bacteria
Description: partial 16S ribosomal RNA
Rfam family: Bacterial small subunit ribosomal RNA
Source: RNAcentral